CUUCCGUAGUUGGAGGCCUAUUAGUACUCUCUAGGUCGGUGAUGAUUAGAUUGACGUCAAGUCUUGAUGUUGCGUUUUGGUUAAAAUCUUUGAUAGUUAGAGUAACUUGUAGAUCAUUAGCUAAGAUAUUGUUCUCGUAUCUUACUUCAUUCAUCACGUAUUCGGUAGUUUUUUCAAUAAGGUAUGUUGAAUGGAGGUGGUAAAUCUCAUGGUAUAUUAACAUGUAUUCCAUGCUCUCAGUUAUUAAGUCAUUAAAAUUAUCUUGGCUGUCAAUGAUAGAUGGUAGCUGAAAAUCAAUUAUGGAUUGUUGUGUGUUGGGUCUGUGGAUGCAGACCUGAAGGGUUUGUUUUGGGUUUUGAUUUGUAGAUCUUGUUUGAUGUGAGAGGCGAUGAGAUAUAAGAGAUUCUCGCCUUUUUGCAAUUUGGAGGAUACACUCUUGUCAGAAACACCAAUGAUCUCUACAGGAGUUUUGGAUUUGAUACACAACCAAUUCUCAUUGGACUGAUCAUAUUUCAGCACACGGUAAUACCACUUCAACACCCAGUAAGCUUUGGCCUCACUCAAUCUUCUUAGCGUUUGAGUUUCAGGCUGAUGAUUUUGCAGUGAGUCUUGGUUAUGCAAAAGUUCUCUAUCCUGCGCUAGUGUAGCUACAUGUAGAAGCAGACAAUGAACAGAAUAACACAGACUAUUUUCCUCAGAGCAAUGAACACUGAUGGUACUCAGCUUAUCACUACUCACAUCUCCAUAUUGUUGAGAGACUUCGAGCCAUUGAUGGACAACACAUGAAGACAGAUUAAAUCCUUAUAAGCUGGCCUGUUGUACUGUUCGAUAUGAUCAUUUCUGAUCCAACCUAGCUUUGUAGCAUCAACUUCAGGGAACCCGCUAAAUUGAGUAGUGAAACCACUAAUAAAUAGUUGCAUUACUGAGCAAGACAAAAUUAGAAUUAAAAUUUUGCAAAAAGUUUAAAAUUUAUUGCAUUUUUCAGUAGCAAUUUUAAUAAAAUCUGUACAAUGGAACGUUUGGAAUAUGUGAUACUGAAUCAUCGACCAAAACGUUUAGUUACCAAAAAAAUAAUAAUCAAAACUCAUAUAUCAUGUGGAAAGCAGACCGUAUAAGAAACAGAGUAACUCUGCUUCUAGAGGGUUGCGUUCGCAAUAGAGAUAAUUCCUGCUCUUACCACAUGAUUCCAUAGCAUACAAGAUGCAU
Long non-coding RNA from Raphanus sativus (radish), 1206 nucleotides. RefSeq lists it as uncharacterized. Lineage: Eukaryota; Viridiplantae; Streptophyta; Magnoliopsida; Brassicales; Brassicaceae. The record is from RefSeq and is a predicted model, not a curated record. The transcript is spliced from 4 exons.